UCCAGGCAGCUCUCCACUAUCAUCGUCGGGCGGUGCCACCGACUUCCAAAUUGCAUCUCCAACAUCGUCAAUCAGGGGAGCAACAUCUGCAGCUGCUUCUCCAACAUCGUUCAUCGGGGGAGCACCAUCUCCAACAACUUCUCCAGCAUCGUUCAUCGGGGGAGCACCAUCUGCAGCAGCUAAUCCUGCAUCAUCCAUCGGGGGAGCACUGUCUCCAACUGCAUCUCCAACAUCGUACAUCGAAGCAGUAGCAUCUCCAGCACCUUCUCCAGCAUCGUUCAUCAGGGUAGCACCAUCUCCAACAACUUCUCCGCAUCGUUCAUCGGGGGAGCACCAUCGCCAGCAGCUUCACCAGCAUCAUUCAUCAGGGGAGCACCAUCUCCAACAGCUUCUCCUGCAUCGUUCAUCGGGGGAGCACCAUCUCCAGCAUCUUUCAUCGGAGGAGCACCGUCUCCAACAGCUUCUCCAAAUUCGUACAUCGGGGGAGCACCAUAUACAGCAGCUUAUCCAGCAUCGUUCAUCGGGGGAGCACCAUCUACAACAGUGUCUCCAGUAUCGUUCAGACGGUGAGCACCAUAUCCAGCAUCUUUCAUCGGAGGAGCAACGUCUCCAGCAGCUUCUCCAGCAUCGUUCAUCAGGAGCACCAUCUUCCAGCAGGUCUCUUCCAGGCAUCGUUCAUACAGAGAGAAGGGAGCACCAUCUCCAGCAGCU
Molecule: long non-coding RNA, 711 nt
Filed under: Coturnix japonica (Japanese quail)
Lineage: Eukaryota; Metazoa; Chordata; Aves; Galliformes; Phasianidae
Description: lncRNA (ENSCJPG00005003179.1)
Source: RNAcentral